UUCGUUGUCAUGUGGACCAUCUACUACUUUCUGGUAGUGAAAUCUAUAGUUUGCAAUGACUGCAGCAAUUAUCUACAUGGAAAAGUUCUGAUAGGAAAAGAAUGUUAUUUUAAACUUCUUUAUUAUGAUUUAGCAGCUGGAAACAAGGAAAAUAUCCAAGGCGGCUGUGCUACUCAUCUCUCUGCAGCCUAUCAGCAACAACUCCGUGGACAAAGCUGGGAACCAACAGUGAUAUGUAAUAAGUAAUUGGAUGCAUUUGCAAGUAAGGCUUUUUGUAGCAUCCUAAACAGAAGGAUAUUGAAGGGAGCUGAUUCUGCUUUGAUCCUUAUGCUUGUUGUCAAAGCGCUUGGGAUUGAAGAGACUGUUGGCUACAAUUGACUGUGACAAUUAGGAGAUGAUCAGAGCCCUAGAGUGGAGCACUUAAAGGAGAUGGCAUUGGCUCCUGUUUUAUGAUCAUCUCCCAGAAAAGAAGAAAUGGUCAUGUACAGGAUACCAGUUUGUGUACUGGAAUUAAAGGCUUUGCUUUGUCAUGAUUUGACCAAGCAGUCCUUGCUGUGCAGAACUGGAAAGCAUUGCCACCAAAACCCAGAGGCUACGUUUGUGAGGCAGUUUUGUGGCUUUCCGUCAAUGCCAAGCGUGUACGCAAUAGGUCUGAUUCUGCCCUCGGUGGCAGAUGCUGGUGAAAUAACAUGGACUGGAGCAGAUUUCAGGUCUCUGCUGGUGCGAGCAGGAUGAGGAUCAGCCCCUGCCUGGCUAUAGGGUCACCAGGAUGCCCUUUCGUUAGCUAUACGCCGUACAUCCUUCGG
This is a long non-coding RNA of Struthio camelus australis, 806 nucleotides long. RefSeq lists it as uncharacterized. The record is from RefSeq and is a predicted model, not a curated record. Lineage: Eukaryota; Metazoa; Chordata; Aves; Struthioniformes; Struthionidae.